Molecule: ribosomal RNA, 548 nt
Filed under: uncultured Glomeromycotina
Lineage: Eukaryota; Fungi; Glomeromycota
Description: SSU rRNA
Rfam family: Eukaryotic small subunit ribosomal RNA
Source: RNAcentral
UUGGAGGGCAAGUCUGGUGCCAGCAGCCGCGGUAAUUCCAGCUCCAAUAGCGUAUAUUAAAGUUGUUGCAGUUAAAAAGCUCGUAGUUGAAUUUCGGGAUCAAAUUGUCGGUCGUGCCUCGGUACGCACUGGUAUUAUUGGUUCCUACCUUCUGAAGAACCGCGAUGUCAUUAAUUUGGUGUCGUGGGGAAUCAGGACUGUUACUUUGAAAAAAUUAGAGUGUUUAAAGCAGGCUUACGCUUGAAUACAUUAGCAUGGAAUAGUGAAAUAGGACGUUUGAUUCUAUUUUGUUGGUUUCUAGGAUUGACGUAAUGAUUAAUAGGGAUAGUUGGGGGCAUUAGUAUUCAAUUGUCAGAGGUGAAAUUCUUGGAUUUAUUGAAGACUAACUACUGCGAAAGCAUUUGCCAAGGAUGUUUUCAUUAAUCAAGAACGAAAGUUAGGGGAUCGAAGACGAUCAGAUACCGUCGUAGUCUUAACCAUAAACUAUGCCGACUAGGGAUCGGAUGAUGUUAAUUUUUUAAUGACUCAUUCGGCGCCUUACGGGAAAC